GCCAGCAUGGCAUAGUGGUUUGAGUGUUGGACUACAACUCUGGAGACCGGGGUUCGAUUCCCCACUUGGUCA
Phrynosoma platyrhinos (Desert horned lizard) is the source of this 72-nucleotide non-coding RNA. The record is from the annotation of a GenBank genome assembly. NCBI's taxonomy places the organism in Eukaryota, Metazoa, Chordata, Lepidosauria, Squamata, Phrynosomatidae.